AGAUAUUUAGGUUAACACUAAACCAAGGGCCUUCAAAGUCCUAAAUAGGGAGUAAUU
Molecule: transfer RNA, 57 nt
Filed under: Dopasia buettikoferi
Lineage: Eukaryota; Metazoa; Chordata; Lepidosauria; Squamata; Anguidae
Description: partial tRNA-Trp
Source: RNAcentral